GAUGAACGCUGGCGGCGUGCCUAAUACAUGCAAGUCGAGCGAACAGACGAGGAGCUUGCUCCUCUGACGUUAGCGGCGGACGGGUGAGUAACACGUGGAUAACCUACCUAUAAGACUGGGACAACUUCGGGAAACGGGAGCUAACACCGGAGAACAUAUUGAACCGCCUGGUUCAAUAGUGAAAGCGGGUUUUGCUGUUACCUACAGAUGGAUUCGCGCCGCAUUAGCUAGUUGGUAAGGUAACGGCUUACAAAGGCAACGAUGCGUAGCCGACCUGAGAGGCUGGUCGGCCACACUGGAACUGAGACACGGUCCAGACUCCUACGGGAGGCAGCAGUAGGGAAUCUUCCGCAAUGGGCGAAAGCCUGACGGAGCAACGCCGCGUGAGUGAUGAAGGUCUUCGGAUCGUAAAACUCUGUUAUUAGGGAAGAACAAAUUUGUAAGUAACUAUGCACGUCUUGACGGUACCUAAUCAGAAAGCCACGGCUAACUACGUG
This 497-nucleotide ribosomal RNA is filed under the name uncultured bacterium. RNAcentral's name for it is "partial 16S ribosomal RNA". It matches the Rfam family "Bacterial small subunit ribosomal RNA", at positions 28 to 507 of the family's 1533-position model. The record is from RNAcentral.